GAUGAACGCUGGCGGCGUGCCUAAUACAUGCAAGUCGAGCGAACGGACGAUGAGUUUGCUUCUCUGAUGUUAGCGGCGGACGGGUGAGUAACACGUGGAUAACCUCCCUAUAAGACUGGGAUAACUUCGGGAAACCGGAUCUAACACCGGAUGAUAUUCUGAACCGCAUGGUGCAAAAGUGAAAUACGGUCUUGCGGUCUCUUAUAGCUGGUUCCCCGCUGCAUUAGCUAGUUGGUAAGUUAACGGCUUAUCAAGGCGACCAUGCAUAGCCGACCUGAGGGGGUGGUCGCCCACACUGGAACUGAGACGCGGUCCAGGGUCCUGCGGGAGGCAGCAGUAGGGUAUCGUCCGCAGUGGGCGGGAGCCUGGCGGAGCGACGCCACGUGUGAGGUAACGGUGUUCGGAUCGUAAAGCUGUGUUAUUGGGGGAAAACAGCUUUGGAAGUAACUGAGCACAUAGUGACGGUACCUAGUCAAGAAGCCACGGCUAACUACGUG
RNAcentral lists this ribosomal RNA (497 nucleotides) under uncultured bacterium. RNAcentral's name for it is "partial 16S ribosomal RNA". It matches the Rfam family "Bacterial small subunit ribosomal RNA", at positions 28 to 507 of the family's 1533-position model. The record is from RNAcentral.